AUGAAGAGAGGGUAUUCAUUCAAGAGGAAUCUGCAAGGAUAUCAGAAGAAAUUGAAUGUCUUCUUUUGCUCGGCAUUUCCUUCCUCACAAUUACAUCUUCUCCUGGACAGGAGCUUCUCACAAGAAACCCAGGCAGUCUUCUCUCCAUUUCUUGCAUUGAUCUCGUUCUCCAGCACGUACCUGGUUCAGGGCUUGCAAGGAACAUGGUGGAAUUGCUUCAGACAGCUACCACCAUCCACGCUCCUGCAACUGACUCUGUACAGCCAGGCCUCUGACUGCACAGCCUCUGGCAAAGGACACAAGGGACCACUCUGCUUUUGGGGGCCCAGCUGCAGAAGGCAGGAGGCAAUGGUGCACACUCAAGGCCAAGCAGCCUGGUUAUAUUCAGAGAGACCGUAA
Molecule: long non-coding RNA, 399 nt
Filed under: Anser brachyrhynchus (Pink-footed goose)
Lineage: Eukaryota; Metazoa; Chordata; Aves; Anseriformes; Anatidae
Description: lncRNA (ENSABRG00000017113.1)
Source: RNAcentral